This 250-nucleotide unclassified non-coding RNA is filed under the name Rhizophagus sp. (in: glomeromycetes). Its description in RNAcentral is "partial contains 5.8S ribosomal RNA and internal transcribed spacer 2". The stretch from base 1 to 65 matches the Rfam family "5.8S ribosomal RNA", at positions 84 to 154 of the family's 154-position model. Lineage: Eukaryota; Fungi; Glomeromycota; Glomeromycetes; Glomerales; Glomeraceae. The record is from RNAcentral.
GUGAAUCAUCGAAUUUUUGAACGCAAAUUGCACUCUCUUCGGAGAGUAUGCCUGUUUGAGGGUCAGUAUUAAUAAAAAUCGGAUUGGUUGCAAAUUGUUACGUUUCCGGAGUUUGGGCUUCUCUUAACUUUUUUGGUUAAGGGGCUUAAAAUUGACCUUUUUUGCUCAUUUUUAGACGUACAUAACUUUUUUUUUAUUCGUCUAUUCUUCAUUCAAAAAUCUUAUUAGAUGAGAUCACAACGUGUGGCUU